CCCUUAGAUGUCCUGGGCCGCACGCGUGCUACACUGACGCCUACAGCGAGUACUUCCCAGCCCCGAGAGGCGGCUGGUAAUCAGCAAUAGGCGUCGUGAUGGGGAUAGAACUUUGGAAUUAUUGUUCUUGAACGAGGAAUGCCUAGUAAGCGCACGUCAUUAGCGUGCGCUGAUUAAGUCCCUGCCCUUUGUACACACCGCCCGUCGCUACUACCGAUUGGAUGGUUUAGUGAGGUCUUCGGACCGGCGCUUGCUGUGGCAACACACGGGUGCUGGAAAGUUGCUCAAACUUGAUCAUCUAGAGGAAGUAAAANUCGUANCA
This 322-nucleotide ribosomal RNA is filed under the name uncultured eukaryote. RNAcentral's name for it is "partial 18S ribosomal RNA". It matches the Rfam family "Eukaryotic small subunit ribosomal RNA", at positions 1470 to 1796 of the family's 1831-position model. The record is from RNAcentral.